GAUGAACGCUGGCGGCGUGCCUAAUACAUGCAAGUCGAGCGAACGGACGAGAAGCUUGCUUCUCUGAUGUUAGCGGCGGACGGGUGAGUAACACGUGUAUAACCUACCUAUAAGACUGGGAUAACUUCGGGAAACCGGAGCUAAUACCGGAUAAUCUUUUGAACCGCAUGGUUCAAAAGUGAAAGACGGUCUUGCUGUCACUUAUAGAUGGAUCCGCGCUGCAUUAGCUAGUUGGUAAGGUAACGGCUUACCAAGGCAACGAUGCAUAGCCGACCUGAGAGGGUGAUCGGCCACACUGGAACUGAGACACGGUCCAGACGCCUACGGGAGGCAGCAGUAGGGAAUCUUCCGCAAUGGGCGAAAGCCUGACGGAGCAACGCCGCGUGAGUGAUGAAGGUCUUCGGAUCGUAAAACUCUGUUAUUAGGGAAGAACAUAUGUGUAAGUAACUGUGCACAUCUUGACGGUACCUAAUCAGAAAGCCACGGCUAACUACGUG
RNAcentral lists this ribosomal RNA (497 nucleotides) under uncultured bacterium. RNAcentral describes it as "partial 16S ribosomal RNA". It matches the Rfam family "Bacterial small subunit ribosomal RNA", at positions 28 to 507 of the family's 1533-position model. The record is from RNAcentral.